GAUGAAGAACGCAGCGAAAUGCGAUACGUAAUGUGAAUUGCAGAAUUCAGUGAAUCAUCAAGUCUUUGAACGCACAUUGCGCCCCCUGGUAUUCCGGGGGGCAUGCCUGUCCGAGCGUCAUUGCUGCCCUCAAGCACGGCUUGUGUGUUGGGCCUCCGUCCUCCUCCCGGGGGACGGGCCCGAAAGGCAGCGGCGGCACCGCGUCCGGUCCUCGAGCGUAUGGGGCUUCGUCACCCGCUCUUGUAGGCCCGGCCGGCGCUUGCCGACACAUCAAUCUUUUUUCCAGGUUGACCUCGGAUCAGGUAGGGAUACCCGCUGAACUUAAGCAUAUCAAUAAGCGGAGGA
Molecule: unclassified non-coding RNA, 345 nt
Filed under: soil metagenome
Description: partial contains 5.8S ribosomal RNA, internal transcribed spacer 2, and large subunit ribosomal RNA
Rfam family: 5.8S ribosomal RNA (bases 1-120)
Source: RNAcentral